This is a long non-coding RNA of Gastrolobium bilobum, 291 nucleotides long. RefSeq lists it as uncharacterized. The record is from RefSeq and is a predicted model, not a curated record. The transcript is spliced from 3 exons. Lineage: Eukaryota; Viridiplantae; Streptophyta; Magnoliopsida; Fabales; Fabaceae.
AGGAUUGAGACAUUUGGACCGACCGUGAGUGAUCAACCUCUUGAGCAAGCUAUGGAGCUUGAGUAGCUCAUUGGAAUUGGUGUUGGUUUUGGAGUAGAGUAUUGUUGACAUUGGUGAAGAACAAAGGUCGACUGAAGCAUUGAGGUAAGGAUGCUGCAGGAGCCUCUGGUGGCAAGUGGCCAUAUCUGGAUUAUGCAUGAAAUAUGGCAUUUCUUUGAGUUUAUGCAUGCCUUUUGUAGUUGACAUGUAUAGGAUUUUAUUUUGAAAGCCCAUGGUCAUUUGUAUAUCUUG